This 407-nucleotide ribosomal RNA is filed under the name uncultured bacterium. RNAcentral's name for it is "partial 16S ribosomal RNA". It matches the Rfam family "Bacterial small subunit ribosomal RNA", at positions 28 to 526 of the family's 1533-position model. The record is from RNAcentral.
GACGAACGCUGGCGGCGUGCUUAACACAUGCAAGUCGAACGAAGUGGCGAACGGGUGAGUAACGCGUAAUCAACAUGCCCUUCAGAGGGGGACAACAGUUGGAAACGACUGCUAAUACCGCAUACAGAAGGAGGGGAUUACGUCUGAUUAGCUAGUUGGAGGGGUAACGGCCCACCAAGGCGAUGAUCAGUAUCCGGCUGGAGAGGAUGAACGGCCACAUUGGGACUGAGAAACGGCCCAGAGUCCUACGGGAGGCAGCAGUGGGGAAUCUUCCGCAAUGGACGAAAGUCUGAUGGGGCAACGCCGCGUGAGUGAUGACGGCCUUCGGGUUGUAAAGCUCUGUUAAUCGGGACGCGUUACCGGAAUAGAAAGCCACGGCUAACUACGUGCCAGCAGCCGCGUAAUAC